This 64-nucleotide transfer RNA is filed under the name Pseudogekko compresicorpus (Philippine false gecko). RNAcentral's name for it is "tRNA-Trp". Lineage: Eukaryota; Metazoa; Chordata; Lepidosauria; Squamata; Gekkonidae. The record is from RNAcentral.
AAGUUUAGGUUAUACUAAACCAAGGGCCUUCAAAGCCCUAAAUAGAGGCCCAUCUCUAACUUUU